AAUGAACGCUGGCGGCGCGCCUAAUACAUGCAAGUCGAGCGAGAAGACGUAGCAAUACGUUUGUAAAGCGGCGAACGGGUGAGGAAUACAUGGGUAACCUACCCUCGAGUGGGGAAUAACUAGCCGAAAGGUUAGCUAAUACCGCGUACGCUUCUUGGACUUCGGUUCAGGGAGGAAAGCGAUACCGUGGGUAUCGCGCUCUUGGAUGGGCUCAUGUCCUAUCAGCUUGUUGGUGAGGUAACGGCUCACCAAGGCUUCGACGGGUAGCUGGUCUGAGAGGACGAUCAGCCACACUGGCACUGCGACACGGGCCAGACUCCUACGGGGAGGCAGCAGUAAGGAAUAUUGCGCAAUGGGCGAAAGCCCGACGCAACGACGCCGCGUGGGGG
RNAcentral lists this ribosomal RNA (389 nucleotides) under uncultured Nitrospirota bacterium. RNAcentral describes it as "bacterial SSU rRNA". It matches the Rfam family "Bacterial small subunit ribosomal RNA", at positions 29 to 407 of the family's 1533-position model. Lineage: Bacteria; Pseudomonadati; Nitrospirota. The record is from RNAcentral.